UGUUCCUGACCUGGGGAAAGUGGCAUCAGGUUGGUGGUGCUCAUCUCAUAAUUAUCCAGACCAAAACAACCCCUGCCUACCCUCACUUGGCUUUCCAUAUGCCCAUCCCUGGUUCAUGCUUUGGACACAUGG
Molecule: small nucleolar RNA, 132 nt
Filed under: Castor canadensis (American beaver)
Lineage: Eukaryota; Metazoa; Chordata; Mammalia; Rodentia; Castoridae
Description: Small nucleolar RNA SNORA48 (ENSCCNG00000003003.1)
Rfam family: Small nucleolar RNA SNORA48
About the family: The snoRNA ACA 48 has been identified to guide pseudouridylation of the residue U3797 in the 28S rRNA subunit.
Source: Rfam by way of RNAcentral